Molecule: transfer RNA, 77 nt
Filed under: Thermoplasmata archaeon
Lineage: Archaea; Methanobacteriati; Thermoplasmatota; Thermoplasmata
Also listed under: 2 other names
Description: tRNA-Ala
Rfam family: tRNA
About the family: Transfer RNA (tRNA) molecules are approximately 80 nucleotides in length. Their secondary structure includes four short double-helical elements and three loops (D, anti-codon, and T loops).
Source: RNAcentral
GGGCCGGUAGAUCAGCCCGGUAGAUCGCCGCUCUCGCAAGGCGGAGGUCCGGGGUUCGAAUCCCCGCCGGUCCACCA